GAUGAAGAACGCAGCGAAAUGCGAUAAGUAAUGUGAAUUGCAGAAUUCAGUGAAUCAUCGAAUCUUUGAACGCACAUUGCGCCCGCCAGUAUUCUGGCGGGCAUGCCUGUCUGAGCGUCAUUUCAACCCUCAUGCCCCUAGGGCGUGGUGUUGGGGAUCGGCCAAAGCCCGCGAGGGACGGCCGGCCCCUAAAUCUAGUGGCGGACCCGUCGUGGCCUCCUCUGCGAAGUAGUGAUAUUCCGCAUCGGAGAGCGAUGAGCCCCUGCCGUUAAACCCCCAACUUUCCAAGGUUGACCUCAAAUCAGGUAGGACUACCCGCUGAACUUAAGCAUAUCAAUAAGCGGAGGA
This 348-nucleotide unclassified non-coding RNA is filed under the name soil metagenome. RNAcentral describes it as "partial contains 5.8S ribosomal RNA, internal transcribed spacer 2, and large subunit ribosomal RNA". The stretch from base 1 to 120 matches the Rfam family "5.8S ribosomal RNA", at positions 35 to 154 of the family's 154-position model. The record is from RNAcentral.